UACAGAGGUCCCAAGCGUUGUUCGGAUUCACUGGGCGUAAAGGGUGCGUAGGUGGCUUGGUAAGUUUGAUGUGAAAUCUCCGGGCUUAACCCGGAAAAUGCAUUGAAUACUAUUUGAGCUCGAGGUUUGGAGGGGGGACUGGAAUUCUUGGUGUAGCAGUGAAAUGCGUAGAUAUCAAGAGGAACACCAGUGGCGAAGGCGAGUCCCUGGACAACACCUGACACUGAGGCACGAAAGCUAGGGGAGCAAACAGG
RNAcentral lists this ribosomal RNA (254 nucleotides) under uncultured bacterium. RNAcentral describes it as "partial 16S ribosomal RNA". It matches the Rfam family "Bacterial small subunit ribosomal RNA", at positions 524 to 776 of the family's 1533-position model. The record is from RNAcentral.